CCCCUGUUUUCUCCUUCUUUUCCUCAGUGGAGACAUCUGGAAUGAACAGAUGCAGGAUUCUGACUGCAGCUCAAAUGUCACCACACUGUUGUCUGGGCUGCGUUAAACAUCUCGUUUGCGAGUUUGUGGCAUUAAAUGAUAUUGCUGGCUGAAUUUAUUGCUGUGAAGCAGCCAAUAAUACUGGCUAUUUCUAAGCAUUUGGUAGAAAAAACUCUGCUUUGUUGGAGCCAUGUGCUCAAGCUGGUCUGAGAUAAGUCUGAUGGAGUCCUCAGAGGACCAGCAGAAAACACUUUCUCCUGUUUUUUUUUUUUUUUUACAUUUUACAUUAAUAAUGUAUGUGUUGCUCUGAUUUUGAAGGCAAACAAUCGCACAUUUCAGUGUGCUUGCAGUUUGGACAUUGAGGAAAGUCCAAUUUCCUGAGUAAAACUUGAAACAAUUUCUUUUUAAAUUAGGGUGAAAGUUUGGGUCCAGACACUGUAAUAAAUGUAGUCUUUUCCGCACCCUAUACAAUCCAGACCUUCAACACAAAAAUGUGCUUUUGUACACUUUCACCAAUAAACGCUAUAGCACUCAUACAAAUGGUGGUAAAUAUCCAUCAGCCAGUUGCUAGGCAACGGUGCAACUCCCCAGCUAACACUGGGGUAUUGUGGCCCGAUGUGGGCUGUAUGGGGGUGAGUGGGUUGACAAGAUUGUCAGAGUUUGUUUGUUUUUAAGGAGAAACUCUCAGAUAGAAGACGUGAAAACAUUUGAUCACACUGAAGCUCUGAUGAAGGCUUCAGCUCUGCAGCUGCCACCGGAGCAGACAGGCAACAUUUCUGUCUCGUCUGACAUGAGCAGAUUUUCCAGAGGCGUCUGGAUGUUUGGGGACAGGCAGAACAGCAGGAAAUUCAAUCGAGGGGGAGCCCACCCAGCUACUGUUGGGCGAAGGCGGGGCCACACCCUGAAGAGGCCGCCAGUCCGUUGCAGGGCCCCUCAUGAAGAGCUUUGGAUAGCAACUCAACGAAAAGUUUCAGGUUUUAAUUGAAUUCCUCCCCUUUUUUCCUCAGUUCAACACAAUAUUUCACCCUAUUUUACAUCACUUUUUCAAAAUAAAGUGAUGCAAUUUCAUUUCACACACCAAGAAAAAAAAUCUCCUCAAUAACUCUGGGUGUAUAGAUUCAUCCGAAGGAAAGGGGUGCAGUCAUUUGAAACACUCCAACACACGAAACUUGAAACUUUAAAAAUGUAAUAAGGGUAUCCUGUCAACAUUAUAAUAAAGUUUAUACAGGAUAUAGAAAAGCCUGCCUCCUAAAAUGCUAUUAUGUGCAGGUCAGAUGGAUCUGUUUUAGAUUUAAAAGGUUGUUCUCUGUUUGCUGUCGUGACACAGCUCUCCAGUCCGACUCCUGGGGGGAUUUUAACUCCAUUUCUCAUCCCUACAAGGUAACCUAGGAGCUGGUUUGUCAGGCUUAGUCAAGCUGACUGUACCUUCAGCUUGUCGCCAAGCAGAACAAAAUGAGCGACCCCCAUGGAGAGGCAAGAGCUGCUCACUGGAGCUCAACUAAGCAAGGGGGGGGGGGGAGUUUAUAAAAAAAAAAACAUUGUAAUCACAGGAGGAGCAGUGUCUCUGGCUGGUUAAUUAGCAGUGGCAAGUUGGGGAUGUCUUUGAAGCUUCAUGGUUUGGCCACGGCAAAAUAACGGGCUGUCGUUGCAAAAAUAAAACCCAUUCAUGAGAAAAAAAAAAAAAAAGGAUUCAUUUGUUCACAUUUUUUUAGGACAAUAUGCAUAAAUUAACACUGUGUAAAAAAAAACGUUUAAAAAUAAGCAAGAAAAGCAGCUUGUGUCCAAGGCAAAAGGGUAAUUAAGCAAUAAUAAUAAAAGAAGCAGGGACAGCACAUGGUCAUAUUUGUUUUCCAUAUAUUUAUAUGCUGUUUUUUGUAAUAUAUCAGCAUCUGGACAAAAGGCAUAAGCAGACAGGGGAGACCUUUCCUGUUGUGAGACUUUUCAUUCAACACUAAAGUGAAAAAGUUUUCAUCUCAAUCACAUAAUCACACAGAUCCCCACGAUGCGCCUCUUACUGUAUUUAUUACUUCUUUGUUUUUUGAAAUGUUGGGGCGUCACAUGUGGCAAAAAGCCUCCAGGCUGUUUCUCUCUUGAUACCUCACAUCCUCAGUCUUUCCUCUCCAUCUAAUGAUAACUACCUGGCAGUGAGGACAAACAUCGUGGACGAGCCACAAGGAAACGCUGUCUGGCAUCAUUAAGCACCACCUGCCACCACCAGCCAGCAAGGCUGGGAUGGAGUCAGUGCUGCAGUAAAACUAUGCCACCCUGUGGCAGGAAAAAGCUUCGGGGCAGCUCAGAGGCCCUGCAAGCUCCAUCUGACAUGUUGAGCUGGAUUUAAAAAGAAAAGACUUGAUUUUAGUAUAAUUUAAUGCAACACUGGUCCCUGAAGGAUGUUUUUGUCUGUGCGGUGUUUCGCUCGUGGAUGUGUUAUAUAUGCUCACAAACAACAACUUUUUUUUUUUUCUGGAGCAACAGACUUUACUGAGAUUUUAGCUCUAAGACGGGAAGAAAUGUGAGAACAAAGAUGCAAAUCCUAACUGAAGCCUACAAUGCAGUUUGUGCACAGCGUGUACAGAGCAUUUAGUAAUGCAUGUAUGAUUUUCAAAUAGUAAGAUAUGCAGAUUGUUGUCAACCAAAUCCAUUUUUCC
RNAcentral lists this long non-coding RNA (2687 nucleotides) under Oryzias sinensis (Chinese medaka). RNAcentral describes it as "lncRNA (ENSOSIG00000011365.1)". Lineage: Eukaryota; Metazoa; Chordata; Actinopteri; Beloniformes; Adrianichthyidae. The record is from RNAcentral.